UUGUGUAGAUUGGUGGGAAUUUGUUUUUAAAUACAUUUUAGAAUAAGGCUGUAACGUAACAAUGUGGAAAAAGUCAAGGGGUCUGAAUACUUCCAGAAUGCACGGUAUGCUCCAAUCCCAAAUGAAUGGGAAGAUUGGAGCAUAAAGCUUGAUCUACUUGAGAUGGACAUGGAGUCAUAGACUUCAAAUGACAGGGCUGAAAACCUCUAAAACGUACAUUUUGGAUUGAACUAAGCUAGCCCUUUGUGUUCCAUAUGAAGAAGGGUAACUAGUGAGGGAGUUAGG
Molecule: non-coding RNA, 285 nt
Organism: Oncorhynchus mykiss (rainbow trout)
Lineage: Eukaryota; Metazoa; Chordata; Actinopteri; Salmoniformes; Salmonidae
Source: RefSeq, a predicted model, not a curated record